Molecule: long non-coding RNA, 1091 nt
Organism: Daktulosphaira vitifoliae (grape phylloxera)
Lineage: Eukaryota; Metazoa; Arthropoda; Insecta; Hemiptera; Phylloxeridae
Exons: 3
Source: RefSeq, a predicted model, not a curated record
GUUGGUUUUUUAAACAAUGUACACGUUGGACGUACACGCCCACUAGCAUAUUUUAUACAUUUUUUUACUGGCAGUCGGCUAAAACACGUGGACGGACGGUUCCGGUUAGUUAAGAUUCGGAAAUCCAUCGCAACUUCUGCCGUGCGUCGUGUUGCUGGCCACCCUUGCAGGUUCAUAGCGUAUUACAGUAACAUGUUUGAUAUGACGACAAUGAUGACUUUGUGAUAAUCAUUAUACCAAACAAUUAUACUACGGAAAACAAUUUAAGCCUCAGAUGGAUACAAUUACACAGGAAGUGACCACAGCUCUUAUGCGGCACUGAAAAGAAACAGAAAUGGAGGCUCGAGGUGGAAAAAGAACGUUAUUUAUUAAAUAUUCGACAUCCAAUGAUUUUUAAUCUUCCUCAGAGUUAUGUUAAUAUUCAGUUUUGUUCGAAAUCGUGGUCUGUGUUUACGCACCAAUCCACACACAUAGUCAGCAGCAGUUGAAAAAGCGAUUGUAUUGUUGUCAAAUAAAAAGAAGGUAUUCCGUGCAGCUUAGGAAAUCGAAAGAGACGAGAACUGUAGUGGAAACCAGAGAAUCGAAAGAAUUAUUUUGCCACUGAGAUUUGACACCCGAUGAUCAAGCGCCUUGCACCAGCUGCUCAUCUGCUCCAUUUGUGACUUUUCGUUCAUCGUAAAGUUUGUUUUCCCCAACUACACAUACUUUCCAAUUGUCCUUGGAUCCGUUAGAUAACCUAUUGUAUAUUUGUCGACAAGCGGACGUUUGAUCUCUUACCCAAACACACCCACUCACAAUGUGCUAACACGUUGUGCCUUUGAUUCCUUCUUCAUUUUCCGACUUGGUUGUAAUAUAUUAUUGGGAUAAUGUGUAUGGGCGAACGAGGGUGGAUGCAAUUUUUACUGGAGAAAAGAAGUAUUAAAGAAGAACCGAACAAAACUAUAAUGAAAAUCUUUGUGGAUUGCAAGCAAUUACUUGUGACUUUAAGUUGGAAACAUUUGCCCGCAGCACACAUUUACUGUAUCAUUGACGUUUUUAGAAACCAUAAAAACAAAAUUUAGCAAAACAUUUUUAGCGUUAUGCCGAAGGCA